UUUGGGGAUGCUGUCAUAGUUGAAGUAAGUUGAUCACUUCCUUCUUUUGAUGGAGUGUUUUAUUUCCUGUUUAUGUUUGACAGUUAGAUAUGUACUGAAACUUCCAAAAGCAUAAGUUAAUUGGCAGCGAGUAAUAUUAUUCAUUUCAAAUCAUUUCUCUAACAAGAUAUAAUUUUAGCACACAUUGUGCUCUUAAAAGAACCAAAAAAUUCAGCUAAGGGUCUUCAUGUUGGAAAAAAACCGGCUGGUAGCCAAAUUCGGUAAUGGUUUCUAUUUUGAUCUGGUGGUUACCUAAACAUAUUUCUAUGGUGAUAUUGAUAUCUAAUUAUUUAUGGAGAACUGAAUGGAUGUUGUGGACGUCAAGAUGGAUAUCACUUCUAUAGAUGUGGCAUGGAGCUAGAGCAAGAUGACAAACUUGAAGCGAAAGGGCUAUCUAAAAGUCGUAACAUAGUUGAUAACAAGCAAUAUUACCCUCCGCACGAUGCUG
This 487-nucleotide unclassified non-coding RNA is filed under the name Hevea brasiliensis (rubber tree). Lineage: Eukaryota; Viridiplantae; Streptophyta; Magnoliopsida; Malpighiales; Euphorbiaceae. The record is from RNAcentral.